CCCUGCCUUUUGUACACACCGCCCGUCGCUACUACCGAUUGAAUGGCUUAGUGAGGCCUCCGGAUUGCGCCUGCGGAGCGGGAAACCGCACCGCGGGUUCGAGAAGCUGGUCAAACUUGGUCAUUUAGAGGAAGUAAAAGUCGUAACAAG
This 150-nucleotide ribosomal RNA is filed under the name uncultured eukaryote. RNAcentral describes it as "partial small subunit ribosomal RNA". It matches the Rfam family "Eukaryotic small subunit ribosomal RNA", at positions 1651 to 1798 of the family's 1831-position model. The record is from RNAcentral.